AUCCAACUGACCAGUCUGAAACAUGACGAAACGCGCGUCGUGGAU
This is a non-coding RNA of Schistosoma margrebowiei, 45 nucleotides long. NCBI's taxonomy places the organism in Eukaryota, Metazoa, Platyhelminthes, Trematoda, Strigeidida, Schistosomatidae. The record is from Rfam.